AGAAUCAACGCUGGCGGCGUGCCUAACACAUGCAAGUCGCACGAGAAAGGGUAGCAAUACCUGAGUAAAGUGGCGCACGGGUGAGUAACACGUGAAUAAUCUACCUCCGAGUGGGGAAUAACUGAGAGAAAUCUUAGCUAAUACCGCAUAACACUUACGAGUCAAAGCAGCAAUGCGCUUGGAGAGGAGUUCGCGGCAGAUUAAUUAGUUGGCGGGGUAAUGGCCCACCAAGACGAUGAUCUGUAUCCGGCCUGAGAGGGCGCACGGACACACUGGAACUGAAACACGGUCCAGACUCCUACGGGAGGCAGCAGUGGGGAAUUUUGCGCAAUGGGGGAAACCCUGACGCAGCAACGCCGCGUGGAGGAUGAAGCCCCUUGGGGUGUAAACUCCUUUCGAUAGGGAAGAUAAUGACGGUACCUAGUAGAGAAGCCCCGGCUAACUUCGUGCCAGCAGCCGC
This 460-nucleotide ribosomal RNA is filed under the name uncultured bacterium. RNAcentral's name for it is "SSU rRNA". It matches the Rfam family "Bacterial small subunit ribosomal RNA", at positions 26 to 518 of the family's 1533-position model. The record is from RNAcentral.